This 253-nucleotide ribosomal RNA is filed under the name uncultured bacterium. RNAcentral describes it as "partial 16S ribosomal RNA". It matches the Rfam family "Bacterial small subunit ribosomal RNA", at positions 524 to 776 of the family's 1533-position model. The record is from RNAcentral.
UACAGAGGUCCCAAGCGUUGUUCGGAUUCAUUGGGCGUAAAGGGUGCGUAGGUGGCGCUGUAAGUCGGGUGUGAAAUUUCGGAGCUUAACUCCGAAACUGCAUUCGAUACUGCGGUGCUCGAGGACUGGAGAGGAGACUGGAAUUCAUGGUGUAGCAGUGAAAUGCGUAGAGAUCAUGAGGAAGACCAGUGGCGAAGGCGGGUCUCUGGACAGUUCCUGACACUGAGGCACGAAGGCCAGGGGAGUAAACGGG